AGAGUUUGAUUUUGGCUCAGGACGAACGCUGGCGGCGCGCCUAACACAUGCAAGUCGAACGAGAGAUGAGGAGCUUGCUCUUCAAAUCGAGUGGCGAACGGGUGAGUAACGCGUGAGGAACCUGCCUCAAAGAGGGGGACAACAGUUGGAAACGACUGCUAAUACCGCAUAAGCCCACGGCUCGGCAUCGAGCAGAGGGAAAAGGAGUGAUCCGCUUUGAGAUGGCCUCGCGUCCGAUUAGCUAGUUGGUGAGGUAACGGCCCACCAAGGCGACGAUCGGUAGCCGGACUGAGAGGUUGAACGGCCACAUUGGGACUGAGACACGGCCCAGACUCCUACGGGAGGCAGCAGUGGGGAAUAUUGCACAAUGGGGGAAACCCUGAUGCAGCGACGCCGCGUGGAGGAAGAAGGUCUUCGGAUUGUAAACUCCUGUUGUUGAGGAAGAUAAUGACGGUACUCAACAAGGAAGCGCCGGCUAACUACGUGCCAGCAGCCGCGGUAAAACGUAGGUCACAAGCGUUGUCCGGAAUUACUGGGUGUAAAGGGAGCGCAGGCGGGAGAACAAGUUGGAAGUGAAAUCCAUGGGCUCAACCCAUGAACUGCUUUCAAAACUGUUUUUCUUGAGUAGUGCAGAGGUAGGCGGAAUUCCCGGUGUAGCGGUGGAAUGCGUAGAUAUCGGGAGGAACACCAGUGGCGAAGGCGGCCUACUGGGCACCAACUGACGCUGAGGCUCGAAAGCGUGGGUAGCAAACAGGAUUAGAUACCCUGGUAGUCCACCCCCGUAAACGAUGAUUAUUAGGUGUUGGAGGAUUGACCCCCUCAGUGCCGCAGUUAACACAAUAAGUAAUCCACCUGGGGAGUACGACCGCAAGGUUGAAACUCAAAAGAAUUGACGGGGGCCCGCACAAGCAGUGGAGUAUGUGGUUUAAUUUGACGCAACGCGAAGAACCUUACCAAGUCUUGACAUCCCUUGACGAACAUGGAAAUAUGUUUUCUCUUCGGAGCAAGGAGACAGGUGGUGCAUGGUUGUCGUCAGCUCGUGUCGUGAGAUGUUGGGUUAAGUCCCGCAACGAGCGCGACCCUUAUGGUCAGUUACUACGCAAGAGGACUCUGGCCAGACUGCCGUUGACAAAACGGAGGAAGGUGGGGAGGACGUCAAAUCAUCAUGCCCCUUAUGACUUGGGCUACACACGUACUACAAUGGCGUUAAACAAAGAGAAGCAAGACCGCGAGGUGGAGCAAAACUCAGAAACAACGUCCCAGUUCGGACUGCAGGCUGCAACUCGCCUGCACGAAGUCGGAAUUGCUAGUAAUCGUGGAUCAGCAUGCCACGG
Molecule: ribosomal RNA, 1334 nt
Filed under: uncultured bacterium
Lineage: Bacteria
Description: 16S ribosomal RNA
Rfam family: Bacterial small subunit ribosomal RNA
Source: RNAcentral